Molecule: long non-coding RNA, 1821 nt
Organism: Mirounga angustirostris (Northern elephant seal)
Lineage: Eukaryota; Metazoa; Chordata; Mammalia; Carnivora; Phocidae
Exons: 3
Source: RefSeq, a predicted model, not a curated record
GAGCGGGGAGUGUGGCUGGAGAACCUGGCCUGCUCAGUGCACCCCUUGCUGCCGCCAUGUUGCCCCCUCUCCCCACCCUCAGUGGUCCCUGAGGCACUUCCACAGGCUCCCAAGGCCUGGAGGAACCGGGUUUGAAAACCACUGGACAAGAGUCACUCUUUAGGGUCCCUCCAAGGUGCAGGAGCCCUGGGGAGUGGCGAGGGGCCCCUGCUCUCCCCAUGUGCAGAUGAGAGUUGUUCCUUGAGCCGCAGUCCAGCUGCCUCCCGAGGGUCGAGGGUCGUGAGAAAGAAGGCAAGGGCAGGCUCAGGGCGCAGGAAGCGGAGCAGGCCAGCUGAGAGGCAGUGACAGGCACUGGUACCGUGGCCUCCUGGAUGGGCUGGUGACAUCACAACCCCAGGAAGCAGCUGCCCGAGAGGCCCUCGCGGUCCCUCAGGCCCCCUCUGGGAAAAUCAGCCACCAGCUGUUGCAGUCUUUUCUCACUCGCUCGCUGCUCUGGAUUGUCCCCUCCUGAACCAUCAUCUUCAGCAGCAGCGGCCCCUUCCUCUCGUUAAGGACCUACUGUGCUCGAGAACGGCGCUGCCCUUACCACCCAUGUGUUCCCAGUUGUCACAUCCGUGUUAGGGAGUAGGGACCGGUACCAUACCCAUUUUACGGAUGCUGAACCCGAGGCUCAGAGGGGCAAGACAGGUUGCCCAAGGUGAACACCAGAGGCAGGAUUUGAACCUGGUUCUGUCUGACUCAGCCGAUGCUCUUUUCAUGAAUGAUCACAUUGUCCGAUUCAAAGCAGAACAGUGCAGCGUGGAGAGCUCCUCACACAUGGCAAGAAAGAAACCGAGAUUCCAAGGAGCAGAGGAGCAUCCAUCAAGACCGUAGAAUAGGUACCCGAGCCUGAGGCAUCAGUGGUAGUAACGGAGGAGGGAAAAGGAGAGAAGAGAACCUGUAUGGACCUGUUGACCCAGCAACUACCACACACCUGGCCCCAUGCUGUGUCCCCAGGCACCGAGGAGACUAACAUACCUGGUGGAGAGAGCAUGUCAAGUGCCUUGCAGAGCAGAGGCAUGCGAUAAUUAUUUGUUGAAUAAAUGAGGUAGGUCUAAUUAGUUUCAUUUUAUAAACUGGGGAAUUGAGGCAAGGAGAGUUGACUUAGUUCAACAUCAUUAGUAAAAGAGAAGAACAGGGAUUUGAACAUAAAUCUGCCUGGCCCUGAAAGGCCAUGAUUUUUCAGAACCACCUCCAGCCCCCCAACCCCCACCCUGGCCCCGGCUUGACCAUUUUGCACAAACCACGGAAGUCUGUGUGAUAGAAAAGGAAAGGGUUUUCUAUUUGGUCACUCAGGAGUCUUGCACAGCCACCAUUUUCCCUUCCCGUGACCAAAUAGCUGGCAUUCUCUUCUUUUAACGUCUGUAGCAUUUAUAGAUUGACUUGUGCACUUACAGGUUAUUUUCUUCCUCCUUCUUAUGCUAAAGAAUAUAAGAAACUUGAAAACAUUAACAUUUUAGGGAGAAAUCUUUAGAAGACCCCUUUCUAGAAGACACAGAGCCCUGUGGUUUGAUGGCAAACAAUGGGACUUCAGGGUUGGCUCUGCCAUUAGCUUUGGCGUGAGCUUGGACGUGUUUUAUAGCCCCUCUCUGGGCCCUUUACCACCCUACACCUGCCUGUCCAAAUUUCAUAAAGCCUUAGAUUUCCAUUGUUGGAAAGGAUUUAAAAUAAUCACUUAGCACCAUCUCACCAUAUUAUUCACAAGGCAACCAAAGCCAGGGUACCUGGGCUUGUUCAAGAUCCUAUGGCUGGGAUGUUGAUUCCUAGUCCAGCGUCCUUUCU